This 30-nucleotide non-coding RNA is filed under the name Homo sapiens (human). Lineage: Eukaryota; Metazoa; Chordata; Mammalia; Primates; Hominidae. The record is from RNAcentral.
UCCGCAACGACGAGGAGUUAAACAAGCUGC